UAGGGAAUCUUCGGCAAUGGGGGGAACCCUGACCGAGCAACGCCGCGUGAGUGAAGAAGGUUUUCGGAUCGUAAAGCUCUGUUGUUAAGGAAGAACGAGUGUGAGAAUGGAAAGUUCAUACUGUGACGGUACUUAACCAGAAAGGGACGGCUAACUACGUGCCAGCAGCCGCGGUAAUACGUAGGUCCCAAGCGUUGUCCGGAUUUAUUGGGCGUAAAGCGAGCGCAGGCGGUUAGAAAAGUCUGAAGUGAAAGGCAGUGGCUCAACCAUUGUAGGCUUUGGAAACUGCUUAACUUGAGUGCAGAAGGGGAGAGUGGAAUUCCAUGUGUAGCGGUGAAAUGCGUAGAUAUAUGGAGGAACACCGGUGGCGAAAGCGGCUCUCUGGUCUGUAACUGACGCUGAGGCUCGAAAGCGUGGGGAGCGAACAGG
This 429-nucleotide ribosomal RNA is filed under the name Bacteroidota bacterium. RNAcentral's name for it is "Bacteroidetes bacterium partial 16S ribosomal RNA". It matches the Rfam family "Bacterial small subunit ribosomal RNA", at positions 355 to 776 of the family's 1533-position model. The record is from RNAcentral. Lineage: Bacteria; Pseudomonadati; Bacteroidota.